AUACGUAGGUGGCAAGCGUUGUCCGGAAUUAUUGGGCGUAAAGCGCGCGCAGGUGGUUCCUUAAGUCUGAUGUGAAAGCCCCCGGCUCAACCGGGGAGGGUCAUUGGAAACUGGGGAACUUGAGUGCAGAAGAGGAUAGUGGAAUUCCAAGUGUAGCGGUGAAAUGCGUAGAGAUUUGGAGGAACACCAGUGGCGAAGGCGACUGUCUGGUCUGUAACUGACACUGAGGCGCGAAAGCGUGGGGAGCAAACAGGAUUAGAUACCCUGGUAGUCCACGCCGUAAACGAUGAGUGCUAAGUGUUGGGGGGUUUCCGCCCCUCAGUGCUGCAGCUAACGCAUUAAGCACUCCGCCUGGGGAG
Molecule: ribosomal RNA, 359 nt
Filed under: uncultured bacterium
Lineage: Bacteria
Description: partial 16S ribosomal RNA
Rfam family: Bacterial small subunit ribosomal RNA
Source: RNAcentral